UUAGAUUGGCUAUAAAUGAUUUGGAGCCAGUAGUUGGCUCCAUUAAUACCCGGCUAUAAAUGAUUUGGAGCAAGUUCAAUAGUAUAGCCAACUACUGGCUCCAAAUCAUUUAUAGCCA
This 118-nucleotide microRNA precursor is filed under the name Oryza longistaminata (longstamen rice). RNAcentral's name for it is "pre miRNA mir-75". Lineage: Eukaryota; Viridiplantae; Streptophyta; Magnoliopsida; Poales; Poaceae. The record is from RNAcentral.